UGACGAACGCUGGCGGCGUGCCUAAUACAUGCAAGUCGAGCGAACAGAAGGGAGCUUGCUCCCGGAUGUUAGCGGCGGACGGGUGAGUAACACGUGGGUAACCUGCCUGUAAGACUGGGAUAACUCCGGGAAACCGGAGCUAAUACCGGAUAGUUCCUUGAACCGCAUGGUUCAAGGAUGAAAGACGGUUUCGGCUGUCACUUACAGAUGGACCCGCGGCGCAUUAGCUAGUUGGUGGGGUAAUGGCUCACCAAGGCGACGAUGCGUAGCCGACCUGAGAGGGUGAUCGGCCACACUGGGACUGAGACACGGCCCAGACUCCUACGGGAGGCAGCAGUAGGGAAUCUUCCGCAAUGGACGAAAGUCUGACGGAGCAACGCCGCGUGAGUGAUGAAGGUUUUCGGAUCGUAAAGCUCUGUUGUUAGGGAAGAACAAGUGCGAGAGUAACUGCUCGCACCUUGACGGUACCUAACCAGAAAGCCACGGCUAACUACGUGCCAGCAGCCGCGGUAAUACGUAGGUGGCAAGCGUUGUCCGGAAUUAUUGGGCGUAAAGGGCUCGCAGGCGGUUUCUUAAGUCUGAUGUGAAAGCCCCCGGCUCAACCGGGGAGGGUCAUUGGAAACUGGGAAACUUGAGUGCAGAAGAGGAGAGUGGAAUUCCACGUGUAGCGGUGAAAUGCGUAGAGAUGUGGAGGAACACCAGUGGCGAAGGCGACUCUCUGGUCUGUAACUGACGCUGAGGAGCGAAAGCGUGGGGAGCGAACAGGAUUAGAUACCCUGGUAGUCCACGCCGUAAACGAUGAGUGCUAAGUGUUAGGGGGUUUCCGCCCCUUAGUGCUGCAGCUAACGCAUUAAGCACUCCGCCUGGGGAGUACGGUCGCAAGACUGAAACUCAAAGGAAUUGACGGGGGCCCGCACAAGCGGUGGAGCAUGUGGUUUAAUUCGAAGCAACGCGAAGAACCUUACCAGGUCUUGACAUCCUCUGACAACCCUAGAGAUAGGGCUUUCCCUUCGGGGACAGAGUGACAGGUGGUGCAUGGUUGUCGUCAGCUCGUGUCGUGAGAUGUUGGGUUAAGUCCCGCAACGAGCGCA
RNAcentral lists this ribosomal RNA (1091 nucleotides) under Bacillus sp. BB42. Its description in RNAcentral is "bacterial SSU rRNA". It matches the Rfam family "Bacterial small subunit ribosomal RNA", at positions 26 to 1100 of the family's 1533-position model. Lineage: Bacteria; Bacillati; Bacillota; Bacilli; Caryophanales; Bacillaceae. The record is from RNAcentral.